Molecule: transfer RNA, 76 nt
Filed under: Candidatus Cloacimonadota bacterium
Lineage: Bacteria; Pseudomonadati; Candidatus Cloacimonadota
Description: tRNA-Arg
Rfam family: tRNA
About the family: Transfer RNA (tRNA) molecules are approximately 80 nucleotides in length. Their secondary structure includes four short double-helical elements and three loops (D, anti-codon, and T loops).
Source: RNAcentral
GCCCCAGUAGCUCAGAGGAUAGAGCAGCGGUUUCCUAAACCGUUGGUCGGAUGUUCGAGUCAUCCCUGGGGCGCCA